UUUUCCCCUGGUCACAAAGCUUUCCCAGUUCUGCUUCCCAGUCUCACCCCAAACCUGACCAUUUCUACCUUCUUUUUCUUUCAAUAAAGGCUUUUCAAAGUUUAACUUUUUCUUCUCUUUCUUUGGUCAAUUUUUUUUUUUUUAUGAGAGUGCAUGCUCCCCACAUAUUUCACAUGGCCUGCAUUUUUAUGAAUCCAAGAAUAAAUGCAUUUUUUGGCUAACAACUAGGAAGUAUUUUUAGACUGAUAGGGCUGUAUUUUUGUCUUUUGCACAGCAUAACGUAAUGCAAAGCAGAUGCGGUUGCAUGCAGGACCCUUUCAUUCAGCACCCGGUUUCAGAUGUGCUGCCGGCACACUGCGUCCCUUGAGAAAUACAUUAACACUUUAAUAAAAAACUCAUCUGACCCAAAGUAGCUCAACCUAGGGGGGUGAGCCAGCCAAAGAAUGAGAAGCUGAGAUCUUGCCUCUUUCUUCGAACUUCUUUGGGUCAGCUGCAUUUUAACCUUGGCUUUGCAGGGGAGGGGGAUUUUGCAGUGGAGAUGUUCAGCUAGCAAGUCAAGGAGAGCACAGAGGGUAGUGGGAAUAGGGGUGAGGUUCAAAGCCAGAAGAGAUUACCGAGGGCAGAUGAGAACACUCCAGACUCAUCACUGUCGUUUUCCUCUACGAUUCUCAGCUCCCUGACAGAGCAAGACCACACCCCAGAGGAGCCUACGUGACAAAGAGAAAGAACUCUGCCAACCUAUCCCACUCACAGAAUCUUCCGCUUGUCAACAGAUCUGGAAGCAACCUCUGUCAUCACCGACUUCAACAUCCUUAUACAGCUACACUCAGGCCAACACUCGGGACUACCUUUGCUUAGUACCAUUAUCACCUGAGUAGGUAUCAUGAAUGAAAUCGAGACCCAGAGAAGGUAAAUCUCUCAUCCAAGACAACAGGGCUCGGAGUAUAGCACACUCAUUUCCACACAGUCCAGCAGGCUUGUUGUCAGGACCGAUACAAAACUCCUAGAAUAUUCCUGGUGUGACUGAGGACUGGUUUUCUCCCUGCCAGCUGAGGGUUAAACCUGAAAAUAUGCCAGCAGGGUUUCACUUACUCUGCACACAGGAAUUCUAUGCAUUUUAAAUCAAGAGAUCCUGGAUCCCAGUAGAUGAAAAGGGUUCAUAGGGCCGGAAGGGCCAAGCCCGUGUGAGCAUUGUGCAUUAUCUUAUUUCACUCUAGAGAAUAAAAGCGAGGCGGUAGAGGGUUGGUCGUGCUUAAAAUCCUUCAAGGCAGAGAGUUAUUUCAACUCUGCUAUGAUUGGAGCUAGGCGGGCAUAUUUAUUCUAUCCCAAUAAAAUAAACAGUAAAAGCGAAGACCAAUAAGAAAAAAAAUUAUUGCAAAUAUCGCAGAUUUAAGCCCCUAUUAGAAUCAAAAUUAAAGAAAUAUCUACAGCCUUCUGUGGCUAUACGCCCAAGUCUUCUUUUCUCUGAAAAAUCUUUUGAGGUUUGAGAAUAGCUCCAGGGAGAAUAAAUGGAAGGUAACUGGGAUGUCGGCCUGUCAGUAUCUGACUGGGAAAAUGACCAGCCUGAAAGAGUGGCCAUGAGGUUUGCCUUGCAGAUGGGCAGCAUGAACAAUGAAUGAAAGCUGUGACGUAGCUCGAAGAGCUGGCCGCUACAGGAAGAUCAGAUGGGGCAGGUGAUAAGCCUUCUCAGAGCUUUGUUCUCUUCACAUGGAAGUAAUGGUGAUAAUACUUCCCUCAUACAAUUGUUUUUACUAGGUUGAUUGAUGGCAUAGGUGAAUAUUUAAUAAUAAUUGUUAACCUUUUUCUAACCCUUACUACGUGCUAACGCCCUGUCCUGGAUUUGUUUGUUGGUGUUUUAAGUCUUACUUGUGUCAGAAGAAACUUCAGGCAAAUGAUUUAUUCUUUAUCCCUUUAGCCUUUCUUUAUUCUCUGUGGAGAACAAAGCUCCGGAAAUUAAUCAUUUUGCCUACCUCAUAGAGUUGCGAAAAUUCCAGAAGUUAGUCUGUGAACAUGAUCAUCCGAGUGUAUGACCUGGAUUCCCAGGUGACCACACACAGAACAUCGGAGAAGCACUGGUCUAGAGAACACCUCACUUCACAGAUGUGGAAACUAAGGCCCAGAAUAGAUGAUGACCAUGACCUAGACAUCUUCCUUUGUGUUUACCAUGGCUGACAAAGACAACUGACCCUGUUUCCUUGUUCCAGUAACUGCAGCCAGGCCAGCCCAUGGUGAGCCCCCUAGGGAAUCAGUCAGAUGUCUGAGCUGUUGCAGGAAGCUUGCCUGCAGACAGCGCACAAGCCGCAGGCCAUCAAGCAGGGCCCUGG
Long non-coding RNA from Panthera uncia (snow leopard), 2324 nucleotides. RefSeq lists it as uncharacterized. NCBI's taxonomy places the organism in Eukaryota, Metazoa, Chordata, Mammalia, Carnivora, Felidae. The record is from RefSeq and is a predicted model, not a curated record. The transcript is spliced from 3 exons.